RNAcentral lists this microRNA precursor (85 nucleotides) under Ipomoea nil (Japanese morning glory). Its description in RNAcentral is "mir-156 microRNA precursor family". It matches the Rfam family "mir-156 microRNA precursor family". From Rfam's summary of the family: This family represents the plant microRNA (miRNA) precursor mir-156. Animal miRNAs are transcribed as ~70nt precursors and subsequently processed by the Dicer enzyme to give a ~22nt product. In plants the precursor sequences may be longer, and the carpel factory (caf) enzyme appears to be involved in processing. The record is from Rfam by way of RNAcentral. Lineage: Eukaryota; Viridiplantae; Streptophyta; Magnoliopsida; Solanales; Convolvulaceae.
GUGACAGAAGAGAGUGAGCACAAAUGGUGUUUUCUUGCAUGAUGGGUAUGCUUGAAGCUAUGUGUGCUCACUCUCUAUCUGUCAC